GCACAGAAAAGGUAAACCUGUCGAAAGGCAGGGACACAAAGCAACGGUCUAACCGGCCAUCUGGCCGAAUGACAGACGGGCUGCCUAG
Molecule: non-coding RNA, 88 nt
Filed under: Chloroflexota bacterium
Lineage: Bacteria; Bacillati; Chloroflexota
Description: Chloroflexi bacterium c-di-GMP sequence
Rfam family: c-di-GMP-I riboswitch aptamer
About the family: GEMM was predicted in a large-scale screen for bacterial structured RNA regulatory elements. Genes associated with GEMM are involved in a diverse array of functions, including chemotaxis regulation, signal transduction, secretion and chitin.
Source: RNAcentral